RNAcentral lists this ribosomal RNA (253 nucleotides) under uncultured bacterium. RNAcentral's name for it is "partial 16S ribosomal RNA". It matches the Rfam family "Bacterial small subunit ribosomal RNA", at positions 524 to 776 of the family's 1533-position model. The record is from RNAcentral.
UACAGAGGGUGCAAACGUUGCUCGGAAUCAUUGGGCGUAAAGCGCACGUAGGCGGCCAACUAAGUCGGACGUGAAAUCCCCAGGCUCAACCUGGGAACUGCGUCCGAUACUGGAUGGCUUGAAUCCGGGAGAGGGAUGCAGAAUUCCAGGUGUAGCGGUGAAAUGCGUAGAUAUCUGGAGGAAUACCGGUGGCGAAGGCGGCAUCCUGGACCGGCAUUGACGCUGAGGAGCGAAAGCCAGGGGAGCAAACGGG